UGCGUAGGCGGAAUGAUAAGUUAGUGGUGAAAGCCCCCGGCUCAACCGGGGAACUGCCAUUAAUACUGUCAUUCUUGAGUAUAGUUGAAGUGGGCGGAAUGUAUCAUGUAGCGGUGAAAUGCUUAGAUAUGAUACAGAACACCGAUAGCGUAGGCAGCUUGCGAAACUAUAACUGACGCUCAGGCACGAAAGCGUGGGGAGCAAACAGGAUUAGAUACCCUGGUAGUCC
This 229-nucleotide ribosomal RNA is filed under the name uncultured bacterium. RNAcentral describes it as "partial 16S ribosomal RNA". It matches the Rfam family "Bacterial small subunit ribosomal RNA", at positions 568 to 796 of the family's 1533-position model. The record is from RNAcentral.